This 484-nucleotide ribosomal RNA is filed under the name uncultured bacterium. RNAcentral describes it as "partial 16S ribosomal RNA". It matches the Rfam family "Bacterial small subunit ribosomal RNA", at positions 30 to 507 of the family's 1533-position model. The record is from RNAcentral.
AUUGAACGCUGGCGGCAGGCCUAACACAUGCAAGUCGAGCGGAUGAAGGGAGCUUGCUCCUGGAUCCAGCGGCGGACGGGUGAGUAAUGCCUAUGAAUCUGCCGCGCAGUGGGGUAUAACGUCCUCAAACGGGCGCUAAUAACGCAUACGUCCUGAUGGAGAAAGUGGGGGAUCUUCGGACCUUACGCUAUCAGAUGGGCCUAGUUCGGAUUAGCUAGUUGGUGGGUUAAAGGCCUACCAAGGCGACGAUCCGUAACUGGUCGGAGAGGAUGAUCAGUCACACUGGAACUGAGCCGCGGUCCUGACGCCUACGGGAGGCAGCAGUGGGGAAUAUUGGACAAUGGGCGAAAGUAUGAUACAGUGCUGCCGAGUGUGUGACGACGGUCUUCGGAUUGUAAAGACCUUUAUGUUGGGAGGAAGCGCAGUAAGUUAAUACCUUGCUGUAUUGACGGCAACAACAGAAUAAGCACCGGCUAACUUCGUG